GAUGAACGCUAGCGGGAGGCCUAAUACAUGCAAGUCGAACGGUAAGGUCCCUUCGGGGAUACACGAGUGGCGGACGGGUGCGUAACGCGUACGAAACAUACCUUCAACAGGGAGAUACCUCCGGGAAACUGGAAAUAAUACCCCAUAGUAUUGAGAUAUCGCAUGAUAUUUUCAAUUAAAGACUUUGGCGGUUGAAGAUUGUCGUGCGUCUGAUUAGCUAGUUGGUGAGGUAACGGCUCACCAAGGCGACGAUCAGUAGCUGGUCUGAGAGGAUGAUCAGCCACACUGGAACUGAGACACGGUCCAGACUCCUACGGGAGGCAGCAGUAGGGAAUAUUGGACAAUGGGCGGAAGCCUGAUCCAGCCAUCCCGCGUGUAGGAAUAAAGGCCCUA
Molecule: ribosomal RNA, 393 nt
Filed under: uncultured bacterium
Lineage: Bacteria
Description: bacterial SSU rRNA
Rfam family: Bacterial small subunit ribosomal RNA
Source: RNAcentral